RNAcentral lists this long non-coding RNA (306 nucleotides) under Elaeis guineensis (African oil palm). RNAcentral describes it as "long non-coding RNA (EGUI_LNC032099)". The record is from RNAcentral. Lineage: Eukaryota; Viridiplantae; Streptophyta; Magnoliopsida; Arecales; Arecaceae.
GGUUGGCAAAAGAGAUUCGGUCGGUCGGCUGAAAGUAGUGUCGGCCUGCUUAGCUGAUAUAUAGUUGGUAGUUGCUUUCAGGAUCGUCCGUUUAUUUGAUGGGUCAGAGUCGGGUGUCGGUCGAACUAUUCCGAAGAUUGAUCGACAAAUAGAGGCCGAUCGAUUUUUUCCAACAGUUGCCCCCUACUUUUGAGUCCAAAUGGCGAGUCAUCGCAUGCGUAGCUACAUGUCGGUCACUUUGGAUGAAAGGAGUAGUUAUCCGUCAUGUCGAGUCUCGAUUUUAUCACCACAUUCUCCAAAAUAUGG